GUUUUUGCUGCUGCUUCUAAUAAGAACUAGUCAACUUGCCCAGUCAAUAAUGAAGAAAUUCAUAUUCUCCUAUUUGAUGGGAAGUUUGAACAAUGACAACUCCAUGUCUCGCUUCACAGUUACACAAGGAUAAAUGAUUAAACAUAAGCCCUAAAUUAAAACAGGCCAAACCAAAUAUUUAAGAAAUCUCUUCCAUCGAUCUUUUAUUAUUUAAAGAAAAGAUGGAGUGAAAACAUGUUUUUGGAUGAACAAUUCACAUACGCUCAACCUGCUGCUCCUUGCGGCCAUACCUUGAGAUGGAAGACACAUUUUUGAGGGUGAUGUUACAGGUCACAUGUGGGGCAUAUUGAUCUUGAUGAGAAAGCUCACUCAGAGAAGUAGUCAAGAAAGCAAUAUAUUGAAAAUAAAGCCAUGUAUGUAGCAACGAAGGUAUUCAAGGUGCCCACUUUGAUGACUUGUACUCGUGCCUUUGAUCCCCACUGUAGAAAAUGCUCUGCUCCAUUUCAAAAGAGAUUGCCUUGUGCCCCAUUUGUUGGCCUUUGGAUCAAACCAGCAACAGACCUCACAGAUAGAAUUCCACCAUUAGCCAUUCACAAAGAGGUAAAUUCUAAGUCCUUUGCCUCACUUCCAAAUAUUUCUCUCCAGAGAAAAGCUUUUUUUUUUUUUUUAAAUCUAUUUGUUAAUAUUGCCAUCUGUUUUGGUUACUACUAA
Molecule: long non-coding RNA, 711 nt
Filed under: Canis lupus familiaris (dog)
Lineage: Eukaryota; Metazoa; Chordata; Mammalia; Carnivora; Canidae
Description: lncRNA (ENSCAFG00845005399.1)
Source: RNAcentral